This 2942-nucleotide ribosomal RNA is filed under the name Thermoplasmatales archaeon SW_10_69_26. Its description in RNAcentral is "bacterial LSU rRNA". It matches the Rfam family "Archaeal large subunit ribosomal RNA". Lineage: Archaea; Methanobacteriati; Thermoplasmatota; Thermoplasmata; Thermoplasmatales. The record is from RNAcentral.
CCUAAGCCGUAUGGACGAGGGCAUAAGUCGGUGGAUCGACCAUCGCGGCCCGAUGACGCCGAUGCAUACGCGAGUCUAGCAGUAAGUCGGAGCUGUAGCAAUCCGACGGCUGCUACAACCUACCUGGUGGAUGGCUCGGCUCGGGCGCUGACGAAGCGACUCGCCGAUCGCGAGGAGUAACCCGCUGAACUGAAACAUCUCAGUAAGCGGAGGAAAAGAAAUCAACCGAGAUGCCGUUAGUACAGGCGAUAGAACGCGGUAUAGGGCAAACCGAAUCCGACGGGAGAUCCGUUGGAAAUGUGGUGUGAGGCCCCCGGUACACCCCAUCUGACGAACGAGAAGUCUUCUGGAACGGAGCGCCGAAGAGGGUGAAAGCCCCGUACCGGUAACUCAGAGGGUGAUUCCGGGGAGACCCGAGUAGCAUGCGUUAGAAAUCGCGUGUGAAGGCGGGGGGCAUCAACCUCCAACCCUGAACACGACCCGAGACCGAUAGCGUAGUAGUACCGUGAGGAAACGUUGAAAAGUACCCCUGACGGGAGGUGCAAAGACCUGAAUGCAGGUAGGGACAAGUAUGCGGUGCGUGCAAGCGACGAAGCCGCUCAGCGGUGGAGCAGCGUUCCGCGGUACUUUUUGAAAAAAGGACCAGGGAGUUCUGUCCAAUGGCGAGGUUAACCGUGUUAAGCGGGUAGCCGUAGGGAAACCGACCGGUCGCAGCACCCUUCGGGGUGUGAGGGCCGCGGUGUGUUCGCCGGGAGUCAUUGGAGGGAGACCCGAAAGGAGUUGAUCUAUGCCGGGGCAGGAUGAAGCCCCACGAAAGUGGGGUGGAAGUCCCAACCCAUGAUGUCGUACAAAACUCUGGGAUGACCCCGGUAUAGGGGCGAAAGACCAAUCGAAACUCCUGAUAGCUGGUUCCUCUCGAGACUGGCCGAAGCCAGACCUCACCCGAGGUGGAUCGCAGGGUAGAGUGACUUAUUGGGGGGUUAGGGGCCGAAAGGCCUCGCCCCGCUCUAAAACUCCGAACUUGUGAUCGCCGUUGACGGUGGGCAGUGAGGCGUUCUGGGGUAAGCCUGAACGUCGAAAGGAGAACAAUCCAGCCUAAGGUUAAGGUCCCAAAGUACCGGUUCAGUGUUAAAGUUUGAAGGGAGUCCGUGGUCGAAGACAGCCAGAAGGUAUGCUUAGAAGCAGCAACCCUCUAAGGAAAUCGUAACAGAUCACUGGUCGAGAUCGCGGGCCCCUAAAAUGGACGGGGCUAAACCGGUCACCGAUACCUUGGGGCGCCCUUCGCGGGUGAUCCAAUAGAGAGGUAUCGUGCGCGGACAGAAGCAUGGGCGUGAGCUCGUGUGGACCGCGUUCGAACAAGAAUCCUGGUAAAAGUAGCAGCGUAGAGCGGUGAGAAUCCGUUCCGCCGUAGGGGCUAGGUUUCCUCGACGAUGUUCAUCAGUCGAGGGUUAGUCGGUCCUAAUUGAGCUCUUAACCGACGCUCAAGAAUGGGAAACUGGUUAAUAUUCCAGUACCGAUCUCGGCCCUGUCUUACCCUUGACACAUCGGGGUAAGGGAACCACAAUUUCCGUUGUGGCGAAGUGCAUAAAUCUCUGGAGAGCCGUAAUGGCGAGAAGGAGAAGAACCCACGAUAGGGCUGCCCUCGGGCGGCUUUCCCCGAACCGGGUGUCCGUGAAAAUCAGGUAAGAGUCACCGAGAUCGUCCGUACCGAGAACCGACACAGGUGCCCCUGGAUGAGCAGUCCAAGGCGUAUCGGAUGCAACGCAGCCAAGGGAAUUCGGCAAACUGGCCCCGUAACCUCGGAAUAAGGGGUGCCAGCCCAGUUAUGGGCUGGUCGCAGUGGCCAGGGGGCCCCGACUGUUUAAUAAAAACAUAGUGGGCUGCUAGCCCGAAAGGGUUUGUAUAGCCCAUGAGUCCUGCCCAGUGCGGGCACCUGAACACCUGGUACAACAGGACGAAGGGCCCGUAGACGGCGGGGGUAACUAUGACCCUCUUAAGGUAGCGUAAUACCUUGUCGCAUAAUUGGCGACUUGCAUGAAUGGAGCAACGAGGGCCCCACUGUCCCUGGCUGCAGUCCGGCGAAAUUACUAUAUCGGCGCAACAGGCCGAUCUGUUCCUAAGGGAAGCGAAGACCCUGUAGAGCUUUACUGCAGCCUGCGGCUGCUCUAUGGGCCUUGGUGUGCAGAGUAGGUAGGAGGCAUUGAUCCCCGCGCGCUAGCGUGGGGGGAGCCGUCCAUGAGACACUACCCCCCGAGGACCGUAGGGCUAACUCCUUCGGGAGAACACCCGUAGGUGGGCAGUUUGGGUGGGGCGCCACGCGCUCGAAACGUUAACAAGCGCGCCCAAAGGCAGUCUCAGUCCGGUCAGGACUCGGACGUAGAGUGUAAGGGCAAAAGACUGCUUGACGCCGAUCCGCAUCAUGAGGGUCGGCGAAGAGAAAUCUGGGCCUAACGAACCUCUGAAGCCCAUUGGUGAGGCUCAGAGAUGUCAGAAAAGUUACCUCAGGGAUAACUGGGUUGUCUCCAGCAAGAGCCCAUAUCGACCUGGAGGCUUGCUACUUCGAUGUCGGUUCCCCCUAUCCUGGUGGUGCAGCAGCUGCCAAGGGUGGGGUUGUUCGCCCAUUAAAAGGGGUCGUGAGCUGGGUUUAGACCGUCGUGAGACAGGUUUGUUGCUAUCUUUAGGAACCGUUGCUGGCUGAGGGGAAGAGGCCUUCAGUACGAGAGGAACGAGGCUUCGGCGCCACUGGUGCACCUGUUGUCCGGAAGGGCAUUGCAGGGCAGCUACGCGCCAAGGGGUAAGGGCUGAAAGCAUCUAAGCCCGAAACCCACCUCAAGACGAGCCAGUGGAGCGCCCGCACAAGACGGGCUUGAUAGGGACGGGGUGUAAGCAUCGAGCGUUCGCGAGGUGUUCAGCCCGCGUCUACUAACGUUCUGUUGCCGUCG